AUUGAACGCUGGCGGCAUGCCUUACACAUGCAAGUCGAACGGCAGCACGGGAGCAAUCCUGGUGGCGAGUGGCGAACGGGUGAGUAAUAUAUCGGAACGUGCCCAGUCGUGGGGGAUAACGUAGCGAAAGCUACGCUAAUACCGCAUACGAUCUAUGGAUGAAAGCGGGGGAUCGCAAGACCUCGCGCGAUUAGAGCGGCCGAUAUCAGAUUAGGUAGUUGGUGAGGUAAAGGCUCACCAAGCCGACGAUCUGUAGCUGGUCUGAGAGGACGACCAGCCACACUGGGACUGAGACACGGCCCAGACUCCUACGGGAGGCAGCAGUGGGGAAUUUUGGACAAUGGGCGCAAGCCUGAUCCAGCAAUGCCGCGUGCAGGAUGAAGGCCUUCGGGUUGUAAACUGCUUUUGUACGGAACGAAACGGUGAGCUCUAAUACAGUUUGCUAAUGACGGUACCGUAAGAAUAAGCACCGGCUAACUACGUG
RNAcentral lists this ribosomal RNA (484 nucleotides) under uncultured bacterium. Its description in RNAcentral is "bacterial SSU rRNA". It matches the Rfam family "Bacterial small subunit ribosomal RNA", at positions 30 to 507 of the family's 1533-position model. The record is from RNAcentral.